CUCGAGGUAAAGAGUCAUAGAGGUAGAGCACUGUGUGGACUAGGGACCCUUCUCGGGUUACCGGAUUCAGAUAAACUCCGAAUGCCGUAUACUUAUACUCGGGAGUCAGACUGCGAGUGAUAAGAUCCGUAGUGGAAAGGGAGACAGCCCAGUCCACCAGUUAAGGUCCCCAAAUAUAUGUUAAGUGGAAAAGGAUGUGGGGUUACUUAGACAACCAGGAUGUUGGCUUAGAAGCAGCCACCAUUGAAAGAGUGCGUUAAAGCUCACUGGUCAAGUGACCCCGCGCCGAAAAUGUACCGGGGCUAAACAUCUUGCCUGAACAGUGGAUGAACCUCUUUAGAUGUUCGUGGUAGGAGAGCGUUCUAAGGG
This 369-nucleotide ribosomal RNA is filed under the name Listeria monocytogenes. Its description in RNAcentral is "bacterial LSU rRNA". It matches the Rfam family "Bacterial large subunit ribosomal RNA", at positions 881 to 1247 of the family's 2925-position model. Lineage: Bacteria; Bacillati; Bacillota; Bacilli; Caryophanales; Listeriaceae. The record is from RNAcentral.